AAGUCGAGCGAACGGACGAGAAGCUUGCUUCUCUGAUGUUAGCGGCGGACGGGUGAGUAACACGUGGAUAACCUACCUAUAAGACUGGGAUAACUUCGGGAAACCGGAGCUAAUACCGGAUAAUAUCUUGAACCGCAUGGUUCAAAAGUGAAAGACGGUCUUGCUGUCACUUAUAGAUGGAUCCGCGCUGCAUUAGCUAGUUGGUAAGGUAACGGCUUACCAAGGCAACGAUGCAUAGCCGACCUGAGAGGGUGAUCGGCCACACUGGAACUGAGACACGGUCCAGACUCCUACGGGAGGCAGCAGUAGGGAAUCUUCCGCAAUGGGCGAAAGCCUGACGGAGCAACGCCGCGUGAGUGAUGAAGGUCUUCGGAUCGUAAAACUCUGUUAUUAGGGAAGAACAUAUGUGUAAGUAACUGUGCACAUCUUGACGGUACCUAAUCAGAAAGCCACGGCUAACUACGUGCCAGCAGCCGCGGUAAUACGGUAGGUGGCAAGCGUUAUCCGGAAUUAUUGGGCGUAAGCGCGCGUAGGCGGUUUUUUAAGUCUGAUGGAAAGCCCACGGCUCAACCGUGGAGGGUCAUUGGAAACUGGAAACUUGAGUGCAGAAGAGGAAGUGGAUUCCAUGUGUAGCGGUGAAUGCGCAGAGAUAUGGAGGAACACCAGUGGCGAAGGCGACUUUCUGGUCUGCAACUGA
This 697-nucleotide ribosomal RNA is filed under the name uncultured Staphylococcus sp. RNAcentral's name for it is "bacterial SSU rRNA". It matches the Rfam family "Bacterial small subunit ribosomal RNA", at positions 59 to 743 of the family's 1533-position model. The record is from RNAcentral. Lineage: Bacteria; Bacillati; Bacillota; Bacilli; Caryophanales; Staphylococcaceae.